UACGGAGGAUGCAAGCGUUAUCCGGAUUCAUUGGGUUUAAAGGGUGCGUAGGCGGAAUAAUAAGUCAGUGGUGAAAUCCUGCAGCUUAACUGUAGAACUGCCAUUGAUACUGCUAUUCUUGAGUAUAGUUGAGGUAGGCGGAAUGUGUAAUGUAGCGGUGAAAUGCUUAGAUAUUACACAGAACACCAAUUGCGUAGGCAGCUUGCUAAACUAUCACUGACGCUGAGGCACGAAAGCGUGGGGAGCAAACAGG
Molecule: unclassified non-coding RNA, 253 nt
Filed under: uncultured Bacteroidales bacterium
Lineage: Bacteria; Pseudomonadati; Bacteroidota; Bacteroidia; Bacteroidales
Description: contains 16S-23S intergenic spacer region
Rfam family: Bacterial small subunit ribosomal RNA
Source: RNAcentral